GACGAACGCUGGCGGCGUGCUUAACACAUGCAAGUCGAACGGAAAGGCCCUGCUUGCUGGGUACUCGAGUGGCGAACGGGUGAGUAACACGUGGGUGAUCUGCCCUGCACUUCGGGAUAAGCCUGGGAAACUGGGUCUAAUACCGGAUAGGAGCCACUUUUAGUGUGAUGGUUGGAAAGUUUUUUCGGGGUAGGAUGAGCUCGCGGCCUAUCAGCUUGUUGGUGGGGUAAUGGCCUACCAAGGCGGCGACGGGUAGCCGGCCUGAGAGGGUGGACGGCCACAUUGGGACUGAGAUACGGCCCAGACGCCUACGGGAGGCAGCAGUGGGGAAUAUUGCACAAUGGGCGCAAGCCGGAUGCAGCGACGCCGCGUGGGGGAUGACGGCCUUCGGGUUGUAAACUCCUUUCGCUAGGGACGAAGCUUUUUGUGACGGUACCUAGAUAAGAAGCACCGGCUAACUACGUG
Molecule: ribosomal RNA, 465 nt
Filed under: uncultured bacterium
Lineage: Bacteria
Description: partial 16S ribosomal RNA
Rfam family: Bacterial small subunit ribosomal RNA
Source: RNAcentral